Molecule: ribosomal RNA, 636 nt
Filed under: uncultured soil bacterium
Lineage: Bacteria
Description: partial 16S ribosomal RNA
Source: RNAcentral
CGUCGCUCCCCUACUUUCGCGCCUCAGCGUCAGUGUCAGCCCAGCAACCCGCCUUCGCCGCAGGUGUUCCUCUUGAUAUCUACGCAUUUCACCGCUACACCAAGAAUUCCAGUUGCCCCUUCUGCACUCUAGCCGCACAGUAUCAGUUGACCUUUCCGAGUUAAGCUCGGAGAUUUCACAACUGACUUGUGCUGGCCGCCUACGCGCCCUUUACGCCCAGUAAAUCCGAACAACGCUUGCUCCCCCCGUAUUACCGCGGCUGCUGGCACGGAGUUAGCCGGAGCUUACAAACGGUACCGUCAUCAUAGGGGGUAUUGUCCCCUACUUAUUCUUCCCGUUCUUGCGAAGUUUACAUCCCGAGGGAUUUCAUCCUUCACGCGGCGUUGCUGGGUCAGGCUUUCGCCCAUUGCCCAAAAUUCCCGACUGCUGCCUCCCGUAGGAGUCUGACCCGUAUGUCAGUGUCAGUGUGGCCGACCGCCCUCUCAGGCCGGCUACGGAUCGUAGCCUUGGUAAGCCGUUACCUUACCAACUAGCUAAUCCGCCGCAGGCUCCUCUUUAGACGCGAGGUCUUUCGAUCCCCCGCUUUAACAACUGUCACCAUUAGGUGCCGCUGCAUUAUGCGGUAUUAGCAACCGU